UUACUUCACUCCUUCAUGUGUUUCUAUGGCGUGUGGAAGAGAAAAACAAAGAAAAAUACCCCAGAAACACGUUUCAACAGCACUCGAGUUCCCGUAGCCAUGGCGGAGAAACCACAGGAUGAACCGAUGAAGGAGAAGUCGAAGGAGACAAAGAAGGAGGAGAAAAAGAAGAAGGAGACAAAGAAGGAGGAGAAAAAGAAGAAGGAGCCAUCCCCGGAGACAGAGCCGGGCCAGAUGCGGAUCAGGCCCUGGGCGGAGUACACAAGCUACCUCACCAGGAUCCCCCCGGAGGACUUCUCUUACAAAAAUCCGAAAAUAGUCGACCCCAAGGUUCAGGAGUUGAUCGACAAGGGGAUUGAGUUGAUGGAGGCAGACAAGAACGUGGAGGCGAUUGAGGUGUUUACGGAGGCCAUCAAGCUUGACGAUAAGUAUGCCCUCAUCACCAUCAACAGGGCGGCUUGUUACGCACGGCUGGGGAACUUCAUUGAUGCGCUGGAGGACUGUGAGACCACCUGUGAACUAAGACCCGACUGGCCGCAGGCCUACCUGAGGAAGGGGACGGUGCUGCUGGAGCUGUUCCGCCACCGCUUCGCCCACUCCGCCUUCAAGCGGGGUUACGAGCGUGAGCCGACAAAUAUGAAACUCGAGAGGGGACAGUACGAAGCCUUGGUCAGGCUGCAGAGAAGAGGAAAGAAGAAACCGUGGCCAAAUGUGGUGGUGACGGCCCUCUCGGAUAAGUCUGUCCAGCAUAUCCUGUUUCGGGACCCCAAGAGCAGGCACCUGAUGAUUGAGCCUGAUUUUUACGAGAUCAUCGAGAAAAUUAGGCACGACCCCAAGGAGAUAAGACAGCACAUGUUAAAAGAUGACUACAAGGUGGCAAUGUGCGUCGCCGUGGCCAGUGGGUCUGAUGUGAACGAUUCUGAAGUGGACUACGAAGACAUGGCGUUCCCCGUGGAGGCCAGGGAGAAGAAGGAGAAGUACGCAAAGAUCCCCUGGCAAUACGAAUACAACCCCAUCAAGGAGGUUUUCGUCCCCCCUACUCCCCCGCCGAAGAGGAAGGAAAGAUAUCCGUUCCCAUUCUUCGAGCUUGAAAUGGAGAAAGAGAUGGGGUUGAUGAGAAGCCAUAGACUCACAAAUUACGAACUUGAUUUUGACUACAUGGACCGGAAGAAGUUCUAUUAAGGGGAGAGUCUGCCGAGUCCGCUGUGAAAACAUGAAAAAUUUCAAAAAAUACGAAAUUGAGUUAUAUGCUGAGAGAUGAGUCAGAGGCGGGGUGAUCCGUGUGUGGCCAUGGCGCUCAGAGGGACUCCAGUUCACGUCCCGCCCAGUAAUGCAUGCUGUCCCUAGACCAUCUAUCAACCCGGACUCAAGAUUCUCUUUAACCCGGUAGCUGCGGGGAUCAUGUUUCUUAAAGGUUCCUCUAAGCGAAUUAAUGAGAAAAAGUCAUCACUCACGCAAAUCAUUAUUUAAUAUGUACCAACACAUAUGUCAUCAGUUUAUGCAUCCUCUAUUUUUGGGGGUUUUGUGUCGUAAAAAAUUUGGCCCAUCACUGGUACGCGGUAAAGCCACAAAUUUGGCCCGUCGCUGCUACCGGGUUAAAAGAUGAUCGCAGCAUGAGCCAAGCAAGAUGGCACCACUAUAAACACUUGCCCGCAUCAUAAGAGGCUGUGGCCAAGCACCAGGACCCAUUGAGAGGUCUAGCUGUGCCACAGACAUAUCGAUAAAAAAAAAAAAAAAGAUUAACUUUGACCUAGUAACUCAUUUAAUACCAUUCUCUGUGUAUUUACCUAUUUGUAGUAUAUGAUGUGCUCAAGAAUGGAUAGUCCUGUCUCCCAGUCUAUAUUUGUCCAAGUUUUCUCAUUUUUUGGACACUGCCCGCUUCAACAAUGUCUGUUUAGCUCAUGUAUCCACACUCCUAGGAUUAUGUGUGUGUGUGUGUGUGUGUGUGUUUAUGUUUUGAUGUAAUAUGCCUCUCUUGGUUUUAGUAAAGCAUUUGACAAAGCUCUUCACCACCGACUGUUGCUUACAUUACAGGCUCACGGAGUAGAGGGUAAAGUUUUGAACUGGGUCAAGGCGUGGCUUAGCAAUAGGAAGCAAUGGGUGCAAAUCAGUGGUUAAAGAUCUGACUGGGGUUGUGUUACGAGUGGGGUCCCACAAGGUUCGGUAUUAGGUCCACUGUUGUUCAUCAUUUACAUAUCAAUGACUUAGAUACAGGAAUUAAUAGUGAUGUUAGUAAGUUUGCAGAUGAUACCAAGAUCGGUAGAGUAAUUGAGUCACCAGGACGCUAGUAUUCUCCAGGAUGAACUAGACAGAUUGUAUAACUUGGCGGAUAAAUGGCAGAUGGAAUUCAGUGUAGGGAAGUGCAGUAUUCUGAGUGUAGGUAGGAACAACCCCUCACAUAACUAUUGCUUAAAUGACACUCCCAUAAGCAGGUUUGGGUGCGAGAGGGAUUUAGGGGUCUUAGUGAGCUCUCCGUCCAAGGGCACAAUGCAUUCAAGCUAGAUAUCGAGCAAACAGGGUACUGGGAUUUAUUUCAAGGAGUGUAAGCAACAGAAGCGCCGAAGUCUUCCUCAAACUAUAUUUAGCAUUAGUUAGACCUCAUCUUGAUUAUGCAGUUCAGUUCUGGUCACCUUACUACAUCAAAUUGUUAGAAUCGGUGCAGAGAAGAAUGACUAAGAUGAUUCAGGGGUUGAGAAACUUGCCAUCGAGGAAAGACUAAAACAAUUAAAUUUGCAUUGUCUAGAAAGGCGAAGGGUGUGAGGUGACUUGGCUUAUAAAUGGAUGAAGGGCUUUAAUAAGGGGGAUAUUAAUAAGGUUCUGAUGGUAAUGGGUUUAAACUGGAUAAAUUCGUAUUCAACAGGGCAAAAACUGGUUUACGAACAGUGGUAGAUAAGUGGAACAGGGAUGUCAUGUGUAUAUUAUAAUGUACAUGUGUAUGUAUGACUGUACGUGUGGCGACACCCGGUCGGUGUCGCACAACAGGAUGUCUAACAACACGUCGUGCUUUUGGCCGUGGGAAGCUGUGAUGAACUGACACUAGGAUUAGCAAAUGAUGACUUAAAUCAGCCGUCA
Eriocheir sinensis (Chinese mitten crab) is the source of this 3072-nucleotide RNA transcript. RefSeq lists it as uncharacterized. The record is from RefSeq and is a predicted model, not a curated record. NCBI's taxonomy places the organism in Eukaryota, Metazoa, Arthropoda, Malacostraca, Decapoda, Varunidae. The transcript has 9 exons.